CUCGUCUUCCUUUUCUUAUCCAUUCGUUGCCCAUCCGUAUUCUUAUCCAGCCAGCCGCCCAGGAGGCGAGCUCGUCGUCAUGGCCGCCGGCAAAUCGAUGCGCCUCAUCUGAUUCGUAUGCGGAUCGCCGACGCGGGAUGCACCCUUCUCCAUGGCCGCUCGCAGCCACGGGCGCACUCGUCGCCUUGUCCGCCUUCGCCAGCAGCUGGAUGCGCGCCCUCUCCAUGGCCGCCGCAGCCAGGGUGCGCCCGUCGCCAUGGCCAAGCUGCAAUCGGCCACGGUAGCGGCGAGUUCAUGCUGGAACCAGCUGGUGUAUGUGCUAUAAGGUCGAUGCCUUGCCGGAGGAAGCUACAUCCAGCGGUGAAGAUUGCUGCAUCCAACGCCGUUUGAUGUCGGGAGCUGCAACCAUGCAUGUCGGAGCUGCAACCGGCUACUGGGGGAGCUGCAAGAGGGGUGGCCAUUUGUGCGGACGCGUUUUCUUUUUGCCGAUCCAAUUUUUUGUUUUUGCUGGAACGAUGUAUUUUUUUUUAUGGAACCGAG
RNAcentral lists this ribosomal RNA (540 nucleotides) under Triticum aestivum (bread wheat). Its description in RNAcentral is "partial small subunit ribosomal RNA". The record is from RNAcentral. Lineage: Eukaryota; Viridiplantae; Streptophyta; Magnoliopsida; Poales; Poaceae.